ACAAAAGGUCACUUUUAAUAUCAAACACAAAGACACUCAGUGGCUGAGAUGCUGUUGGUUUCUUCCCCCAGAAGCCGUGUCUAUACGUGGGCUGUCCGUAGCGUGUUUACCUCAUGGAGAGCUGAGGGUGUCCUGCUCCGCUGGGGGGGACAAUCCCCACUACAACUGGACACUGGGGGACCAGCCACUUGGAGAGGACAUUCCCCAUAUGAACUCUGGAGAUGGUGUUGUUUUGUUGGGAAAGGGUGAGAGUGGAGAAAUCACCUGUACAGCCUGGAAUAAUGUCAGCAGGGAAAGCAGAACCCAGAGUCUCCCCACCUGUUCAGAACUUGGACCGUCUGUGAGUUGCACUUUGACAAAUGGCACAGAGAUUGCCGUUAGGAUGAACACUACAGAAGGCCUUUCUCUCUUGGAGAAUAAGAAGAUCUUCUUCACUCUUCAUGGGAGAGAGAUGUUGUCUGCUCUGUGCUACAACCAACCGAAACCCACAAGCAAUGAAAAAGACACAUUCGAAAAAAAAAAGGAUUGUCUUAAAUCAGAGGUGAUCUUACCUGUUUCGGCAGCACUAGCAAUUAUCACCGUGCUUCUUGUCGUCACAGUGGGAGUUUACUUCUUGUACAAGAGGAAGAAAGAUCGAGCAUCAGUAGGUCAGUUUGUUAGUUACAAUAUUCACCUAUUGAUAACGACGCCAUGUACUCAUGUACCCAUGUGGACCUUGGAGUACCUUGUCUUGUUCUCUUCUACCUAGGGGAUAAAGCCUACAGCCAAGAUCUGGUGUAUGCAGACGUCAGGGUCAGCAGGAACGAGGGCAACGGCAGGACCCGGAUGGGGAAGAGGGCAGAACCAGAGGUGGUGUACGGAGAAGUUAAAGUGUGAAGUACUUCUGAACAGAAAUGAUACAAGGGAAAACACACAAUUGCUAAAAUUGGUCUUAUUUUUUUUCUGAAAACCUUCCUCUUUUCUCAAGCAAUUUUUGAAAUAAUACUCAGUUUCGACUCCCUCUGCUUCUUUUUUUAACUUUUUAAAAUGUAUUUUUCAUAUCUCACAUUCAUUAAAGGUGAAAUUUUGCUGAAAAUUGUAAUAAAAG
RNAcentral lists this long non-coding RNA (1087 nucleotides) under Scleropages formosus (Asian bonytongue). Its description in RNAcentral is "lncRNA (ENSSFOG00015026762.1)". The record is from RNAcentral. Lineage: Eukaryota; Metazoa; Chordata; Actinopteri; Osteoglossiformes; Osteoglossidae.